AGAGGCUUAGGAUAGCAUAAGACCGGGAGCCUUCAAAGCUCUAAGCAGAAGUGAAAAUCUUCUAGCCCCUG
Molecule: transfer RNA, 71 nt
Filed under: Pseudaspius hakonensis (big-scaled redfin)
Lineage: Eukaryota; Metazoa; Chordata; Actinopteri; Cypriniformes; Leuciscidae
Description: tRNA-Trp
Rfam family: tRNA
About the family: Transfer RNA (tRNA) molecules are approximately 80 nucleotides in length.
Source: RNAcentral